RNAcentral lists this ribosomal RNA (495 nucleotides) under uncultured bacterium. Its description in RNAcentral is "partial 16S ribosomal RNA". It matches the Rfam family "Bacterial small subunit ribosomal RNA", at positions 28 to 507 of the family's 1533-position model. The record is from RNAcentral.
GAUGAACGCUGGCGGCGUGCCUAAUACAUGCAAGUAGAACGCUGAAGGAGGAGCUUGCUCUUCUGGAUGAGUUGCGAACGGGUGAGUAACGCGUAGGUAACCUGCCUGGUAGCGGGGGAUAACUAUUGGAAACGAUAGCUAAUACCGCAUGACAACAGUUAUUGCAUGAUAACUGUUUAAAAGGGGCAACUGCUCCACUACCAGAUGGACCUGCGUUGUAUUAGCUAGUUGGUGAGGUAACGGCUCACCAAGGCGACGAUACAUAGCCGACCUGAGAGGGUGAUCGGCCACACUGGGACUGAGACACGGCCCAGACGCCUACGGGAGGCAGCAGUAGGGAAUCUUCGGCAAUGGACGGAAGUCUGACCGAGCAACGCCGCGUGAGUGAAGAAGGGUUUCGGAUCGUAAAGCUCGGUUGUAAGAGAAGAACGAGUGUGAGAGUGGAAAGUUCACACUGUGACGGUAGCUUACCAGAAAGGGACGGCUAACUACGUG